This 220-nucleotide unclassified non-coding RNA is filed under the name Hevea brasiliensis (rubber tree). Lineage: Eukaryota; Viridiplantae; Streptophyta; Magnoliopsida; Malpighiales; Euphorbiaceae. The record is from RNAcentral.
AACACAUAAAUAAGGCCCAAAACACAUAUUUGACUAAAAAUAAUUAAAUAAAAACAUUCAAACUUGUCCUAAAUUAAAAAAGAUAUACUAAAUUUGCAUAAAAAUUCAUCAAUUCUAUCCAAAUAUUUUUUGAUCAUCUCUCACACAAACUUAGAUCAAAUUAAGGCACUUUUUAUCUUCUUGGAACCCCAAUUUAUUAAUUGUAUCUCCAUAUUUAGCU